Coregonus clupeaformis (lake whitefish) is the source of this 3718-nucleotide long non-coding RNA. RefSeq lists it as uncharacterized. The record is from RefSeq and is a predicted model, not a curated record. NCBI's taxonomy places the organism in Eukaryota, Metazoa, Chordata, Actinopteri, Salmoniformes, Salmonidae. The transcript is spliced from 7 exons.
UUAGAUAUUUCUCUUUAGCCCUGGCUCGUUCAUCAGCAUCAAAAUACCACACUGUGAUGGCAUACCUGGACAGAGGAGAGGCAGGGAGAGACCAGAGAUCAGAGACAGAGUUCUGGACAGGUGGGAUAGGUGGGACAGGUGGGACAGGAGAUACAGGUGAGUAGUUUAGGGUUGAGCGUGUGUUAUAAGCUACAGGUGAGUAGUUUAGGGUUGAGCGUGUGUUAUAAGCUACAGGUGAGUAGUUUAGGGUUGAGCGUGGGCUAUAAGGGUGUGUUAUAAGCUACAGGUGAGUAGUUUAGGGUUGAGCGUGUGUUAUAAGCUACAGGUGAGUAGUUUAGGGUUGAGCGUGGGCUAUAAGGGUGUGUUAUAAGCUACAGGUGAGUAGUUUAGGGUUGAGCGUGUGUUAUAAGCUACAGGUGAGUAGUUUAGGGUUGAGCGUGUGCUAUAAGGGUGUGUUAUAAGCUACAGGUGAGUAGUUUAGGGUUGAGCGUGGGCUAUAAGGGUGUGUUAUAAGCUACAGGUGAGUAGUUUAGGGUUGAGCGUGUGUUAUAAGCUACAGGUGAGUAGUUUAGGGUUGAGCGUGUGCUAUAAGGGUGUGUUAUAAGCUACAGGUGAGUAGUUUAGGGUUGAGCGUGUGUUAUAAGCUACAGGUGAGUAGUUUAGGGUUGAGCGUGUGCUAUAAGGGUGUGUUAUAAGCUACAGGUGAGUAGUUUAGGGUUGAGCGUGUGUUAUAAGCUACAGGUGAGUAGUUUAGGGUUGAGCGUGUGCUAUAAGGGUGUGUUAUAAACUACAGGUGAGUAGUUUAGGGUUGAGCGUGUGUUAUAAGCUACAGGUGAGUAGUUUAGGGUUGAGCGUGUGUUAUAAGGGUGUGUUAUAAGGGUGUGUUAUAAACAACAGGUGAGUAGUUUAGGGUUGAGCGUGUGUUAUAAGCUACAGGUGAGUAGUUUAGGGUUGAGCGUGUGUUAUAAGGGUGUGUUAUAAGGGUGUGUUAUAAGCUACAGGUGAGUAGUUUAGGGUUGAGCGUGUGUUAUAAGCUACAGGUGAGUAGUUUAGGGUUGAGCGUGUGUUAUAAGGGUGUGUUAUAAGGGUGUGUUAUAAACUACAGGUGAGUAGUUUAGGGUUGAGCGUGUGUUAUAAGGGUGUGUUACUAGAUGUGUUAUAAGAUGCAUUAAAGGAGUGUUAUAAGAUGUGUUAUAAGGUGUUAUAUAGGUAUCUUAUAAGAUGUUAGAUGUUAUUAGGUGUUAAAGGCAUGUUAUAAAGAUGUUAUAAGAUGUGUUAUAAGGUGUUAUAUAGGUAUCUUAUAAGAUGUUAAAGAUGUUAUUAGGCGUUAAAGGCAUGUUAUAAAGAUGUUAUUAGGUGUUAAAGGCAUGUUAUAAAGAUGUUAUUAGGUGUUAAAGGCAUGUUAUAAAGAUGUUAUAAGAUGUGUUAUCAGGUGUUAUAUAGGUAUCUUAUAAGAUGUUAAAGAUGUUAUUAGGUGUUAAAGGCAUGUUAUAAAGAUGUUAUUAGGUGUUAAAGGCAUGUUAUAAAGAUGUUAUUAGGUGUUAAAGGCAUGUUAUAAAGAUGUUAUUAGGUGUUAAAGGCAUGUUAUAAAGAUGUUAUAAGAUGUGUUAUCAGGUGUUAUAUAGGUAUCUUAUAAGAUGUUAAAGAUGUUAUUAGGUGUUAAAGGCAUGUUAUAAAGAUGUUAUUAGGUGUUAAAGGCAUGUUAUAAAGAUGUUAUUAGGUGUUAAAGGCAUGUUAUAAAGAUGUUAUUAGGCGUCAAAGGCAUGUUAUAAAUAUGUUAUUAGGUGUUAAAGGCAUGUUAUAAAGAUGUUAUUAGGUGUUAAAGGCAUGUUAUAAAGAUGUUAUUAGGUGUUAAAGGCAUGUUAUAAAGAUGUUAUUAGGUGUUAAAGGCAUGUUAUAAAGAUGUUAUUAGGCGUUAAAGGCAUGUUAUAAAGAUGUUAUUAGGCGUUAAAGGCAUGUUAUAAAGAUGUUAUUAGGUGUUAAAGGCAUGUUAUAAAGAUGGUAUUAGGUGUUAAAGGCAUGUUAUAAAGAUGUUAUUAGGUGUUAAAGGCAUGUUAUAAAGAUGUUAUUAGGUGUUAAAGGCAUGUUAUAAAGAUGUUAUUAGGUGUUAAAGGCAUGUUAUAAAGAUGUUAUUAGGUGUUAAAGGCAUGUUAUAAAGAUGUUAUUAGGUGUUAAAGGCAUGUUAUAAAGAUGUUAUUAGGCGUUAAAGGCAUGUUAUAAAGAUGUUAUUAGGCGUUAAAGACAUGUUAUAAAGAUGUUAUUAGGUGUUAAAGGCAUGUUAUAAAGAUGUUAUUAGGUGUUAAAGGCAUGUUAUAAAGAUGUUAUUAGGCGUUAAAGGCAUGUUAUAAAGAUGUUAUUAGGUGUUAAAGGCAUGUUAUAAAGAUGUUAUUAGGUGUUAAAGGCAUGUUAUAAAGAUGUUAUUAGGUGUUAAAGGCAUGUUAUAAAGAUGUUAUUAGGUGUUAAAGGCAUGUUAUAAAGAUGUUAUUAGGCGUUAAAGGCAUGUUAUAAAGAUGUUAUUAGGCGUUAAAGGCAUGUUAUAAAGAUGUUAUUAGGUGUUAAAGGCAUGUUAUAAAGAUGUUAUUAGGUGUUAAAGGCAUGUUAUAAAGAUGUUAUUAGGUGUUAAAGGCAUGUUAUAAAGAUGUUAUUAGGUGUUAAAGGCAUGUUAUAAAGAUGUUAUUAGGCGUUAAAGGCAUGUUAUAAAGAUGUUAUUAGGCGUUAAAGGCAUGUUAUAAAGAUGUUAUUAGGCGUUAAAGGCAUGUUAUAAAGAUGUUAUUAGGCGUUAAAGGCAUGUUAUAAAGAUGUUAUUAGGUGUUAAAGGCAUGUUAUAAAGAUGUUAUUAGGUGUUAAAGGCAUGUUAUAAAGAUGUUAUUAGGUGUUAAAGGCAUGUUAUAAAGAUGUUAUUAGGUGUUAAAGGCAUGUUAUAAAGAUGUUAUUAGGUGUUAAAGGCAUGUUAUAAAGAUGUUAUUAGGUGUUAAAGGCAUGUUAUAAAGAUGUUAUUAGGUGUUAAAGGCAUGUUAUAAAUAUGUUAUUAGGUGUUAAAGGCAUGUUAUAAAGAUGUUAUUAGGCGUUAAAGGCAUGUUAUAAAGAUGUUAUUAGGUGUUAAAGGCAUGUUAUAAAGAUGUUAUUAGGUGUUAAAGGCAUGUUAUAAAGAUGUUUAGGUGUUAAAGGCAUGUUAUAAAGAUGUUAUUAGGUGUUAAAGGCAUGUUAUAAAGAUGUUAUUAGGCGUUAAAGCCAUGUUAUAAAGAUGUUAUUAGGUGUUAAAGGCAUGUUAUAAAGAUGUUAUUAGGUGUUAAAGGCAUGUUAUAAAGAUGUUAUUAGGUGUUAAAGGCAUGUUAUAAAGAUGUUAUUAGGUGUUAAAGGCAUGUUAUAAAGAUGUUAUUAGGUGUUAAAGGCAUGUUAUAAAGAUGUUAUUAGGUGUUAAAGGCAUGUUAUAAAGAUGUUAUUAGGUGUUAAAGGCAUGUUAUAAAGAUGUUAUUAGGCGUUAAAGGCAUGUUAUAAAGAUGUUAUUAGGUGUUAAAGGCAUGUUAUAAAGAUGUUAUUAGGUGUUAAAGGCAUGUUAUAAAGAUGUUAUUAGGUGUUAAAGGCAUGUUAUAAAGAUGUUAUAAGAUGUGUUAUCAGGUGUGUUAAAAAUAAUUGUUAUAAGGUGUGUUAAAUGUUAAACGUGUAUUUUAAGAUGUGUUAUAAAGGUGUGUUAGAUGUUAUAAAGGUGUGUUAGAUG